CGUGGGUGUAUGAGACUUGAGAGGAUUUGUCCCUAGUACGAGAGGACCGGGAUGAACAUACCUCUGGUGUACCGGUUGUCGCGCCAGCGGCACAGCCGGGUAGCUAAGUAUGGACGGGAUAACCGCUGAAAGCAUCUAAGCGGGAAACCCACCUCAAAACUAGGUCUCACAGGGCCGUGAAAGACCAUCACGUCAAUAGGCCGGGUGUGGAAGCGUGGUAACACGUGAAGCUAACCGGUCCUAAUCGCCCAUAUCGCUCACACAA
RNAcentral lists this non-coding RNA (265 nucleotides) under Asaia bogorensis. Its description in RNAcentral is "Large Subunit Ribosomal RNA; lsuRNA; LSU rRNA". It matches the Rfam family "Bacterial large subunit ribosomal RNA", at positions 2646 to 2925 of the family's 2925-position model. The record is from RNAcentral. Lineage: Bacteria; Pseudomonadati; Pseudomonadota; Alphaproteobacteria; Acetobacterales; Acetobacteraceae.